Molecule: non-coding RNA, 359 nt
Organism: Pelobates cultripes (western spadefoot toad)
Lineage: Eukaryota; Metazoa; Chordata; Amphibia; Anura; Pelobatidae
Source: the annotation of a GenBank genome assembly
CCAAUCUGGCAAAUUUAAAUGUGAAAAAAACUGAAAAAUGUAACAUGCAAUAUUUGACCCUGUAACUUCCCACAACACCAUAAAACCUGUACAUAGGGGUACUGUUUUACAUGUGAGACAUUGCUGAAUACAAAUAUGUGUAUUUUAUUGCAGCAAAAGCAAACAGUACUAUGGCAUUCACAGUUAGAAUGUCACGUAGAACUAAACAUUUUUUUAAUUCUUAUUUUCUCCCACUUUUUAAUAUUUUAUUCAUAUUAAAUUAUGUUUCAUACCUAAAUAUUUGAUUUUAAAUGAAAGUCCUGUUUCCCCUGAAUAAAAUGAUAUAUAAUAAGUGUGGGUGCACAUAAUAUGAAAGAGGC